UUAACGGAGAGUUUGAUCCUGGCUCAGGACGAACGCUGGCGGCGUGCUUAACACAUGCAAGUCGAACGAUGAAGCCCAGCUUGCUGGGUGGAUUAGUGGCGAACGGGUGAGUAACACGUGGGUGAUCUGCCCUGCACUUCGGGAUAAGCCUGGGAAACUGGGUCUAAUACCGGAUAUGACCAAAGGCUGCAUGGUUUUUGGUGGAAAGUUUUUCGGUGCAGGAUGAGCCCGCGGCCUAUCAGCUUGUUGGUGGGGUAAUGGCCUACCAAGGCGACGACGGGUAGCCGGCCUGAGAGGGCGACCGGCCACACUGGGACUGAGACACGGCCCAGACUCCUACGGGAGGCAGCAGUGGGGAAU
RNAcentral lists this ribosomal RNA (360 nucleotides) under Staphylococcus aureus. RNAcentral describes it as "bacterial SSU rRNA". It matches the Rfam family "Bacterial small subunit ribosomal RNA", at positions 1 to 362 of the family's 1533-position model. The record is from RNAcentral. Lineage: Bacteria; Bacillati; Bacillota; Bacilli; Caryophanales; Staphylococcaceae.